CGGCAAUCAUGGCCUCAUCAGGUACCCCAUUUUCUUACUCUUCUUCAUAUUAUGCUUAUAUUUUUACUGUUUUUUUGCCUGUUUUUAAUACUCCUUGUUAUGUCUUUUUUAGACUCUGAAAUAAGCGUGCUCACCUCUUCUCCCACUGAUUCUCUCGAUCAAAUCGACAUCUCGGAUUUGGAUAAGUAUCUGUUCCCGAGGGCCCCGAGUUCUUCUUCACCAGCGCUCCAGCCCAUCACGCCCCCAUAGCAGCGAUCCUCGGGGAAAAAUAUCCCUCUGUCCGACAGGGAAUGGCAAGAUCUGUUCUCAGUGCUAGGUCGUCCUGCUUCUUCCGGCCACAGCUCCAUCCCCACCUGCGCUUCUUCUCUCCCGCGACCCUCGGGGAAAAAUAUUCGUCUGUCCGCCCGGGAGAGGCAAGAUUUGCUUUCCGCGGUCGGUCCUCGCGCUCCUGGCUCCCAGAGCACCAUCCUGACCAGUGCUUCUUCUCCCCCAUCAGGCAGAUGAAAUUCACAGUGCCUGCUUUUGCGAGCCAAACACGGUCUACUUAAGCAUCUCACGAGGAACAGGACGACCGGUAGGACCAGAAGGAUAAGGAGCACAAGGACAAGGCGCAGACGGCAUCAGCUCGCUUCUAUCGCUCUUCGAGCAGUAUGUCUCGU
This is a long non-coding RNA of Oreochromis niloticus (Nile tilapia), 659 nucleotides long. RefSeq lists it as uncharacterized. The transcript has 3 exons. NCBI's taxonomy places the organism in Eukaryota, Metazoa, Chordata, Actinopteri, Cichliformes, Cichlidae. The record is from RefSeq and is a predicted model, not a curated record.